UGUGCGAUGAUGAGUAGCGCAGGGGUCCUGACUCAGCCGCUAAUGGGGGCUGAGUGCUGUGACAGAGACAAGUGGUCCCUGUGACAGCACGACACAGACGCCACACUGAGCACA
Molecule: small nucleolar RNA, 114 nt
Filed under: Periophthalmus magnuspinnatus
Lineage: Eukaryota; Metazoa; Chordata; Actinopteri; Gobiiformes; Gobiidae
Description: Small nucleolar RNA SNORD94 (ENSPMGG00000015400.1)
Source: RNAcentral